GACAUAAAGAAGUUGCAUGUUAACAUAAAUAAGUUGCAUGUUGACAUUAAUAGGUAGCGUAUCUAGCAUCUUGAAUGUCACAUGUUGGCGAUAUUUGAGAUUUUUUAUAACUCUUAUUUGAUUGCAGUUUUCUUGCAUGUCAACAUAGUUAUGUUGCAUGUUGACAUAACUAUCUUGCAUGUCAACAUAUUUAUCUUGCAUGUCCACAUAAUUAAUAGAAAAAUAACUUGCACACAAGGGGCAGAGAUAUGCCACCAUACUGUCCUUUCCACGUUAGGGAAUAGUCUCGCUGUUUUGCAACACAUUCUUUCUUUUCUUAUUUAUGUAAUUGAGGUCUUUCUGUUGUAAAUGUAUCUUUUAAAUAGUUUCGCUCCAACAGCUCGAAACCCAAGGCCAAUUCCGCAUUUAAUCCCCAACUCUCUGAAUUUUUGUCAUCUUAUUAUCAAGGUAUAAUUCAUAUUUUGUUCCGUAUGGCUACGUACAAAAUUUUAUGAGGGAAAUCUCAACAGUCGCCAAACCUAUACACAUACCUGUAGUUCUAUGAUGAAAAGUUGGGUAAGUUUGUAUAGGUAGAAUGCAUACGAUACUUACUAAAACGUGCAAUUUAAGGCACACAACAGUAGGCUAGUUUUGAACAUAUUGACAUACAUUCUGUACAAUAAAUCCAUAAAAAAAUGUACCAGUCAGUUUCAUACUUUGUUGCCGUUUUGCUUGCCCAACACUUACUGUUAGGCGAACCAACCUAAGAGUUGUCAUUUGUAUAUGUAAACAAACCAAACCACUUUGACAAGUAAAGUAAAAACAUCUGCAGUAAAAUUUAUGAGGGUAUGUAGGCAUAUAUUAUUUACACAGAAUGUGGUAGGGUAAAGGGUUAUCACGGGAACAAGCACUUGCAUAGAGAAGAUGGAUCUUAGUUCAUAAGCUUGCACUUCCAAUUCAGUCUUAAAUUCUUUCAUAUGAUCGUUUAUUGACUGUUAGAUUGGCGAUCGAUGGGUGUAGAAAUCGAGAACUUCAUCUCUAUCACUUCGAUAAUAAGUAAGUAGGUUAUACAUGUUCUUUAUAUAUAAACAAUAAAAUUAUUUGGUUGGUGAUUAUGCGGGUUAUGUAAUUUUUCCUCAAUGGUCGCUACCUUGAUAACCGGCAUGAAUCAUCAAAGAAAAUAUUUAUUGUUUAUACUUCAAUACUUUUUUCAAAGUCAAUAAAUCGAUAGAUAAAAUUGAAUAAUUUAAUUCUGGUUGUAACACGCUUUCUGAUUGGUUGAAAAAAUUAUUUUAUAUCGUAUAAAGAAUGUUGCCUACGUCACAGUAAGACUAACGUCAAAAACGUAUCAAUCCGCCUGCAUUACGUUUGAAUUUUGUACAAUUUAAUGUCAUUUUAUAGAUCAAAUGACAGUUGUUAUCAACAAUUGAUAGCAAAAAAAUUAAAAUAUCAGGAAUGAAUGCAAUAUUUAUUAGUGUUAUACGAUAUAAAAUUGUUUGGAACAGUUUACGCUUUUUAUAAACUGCAUCGCGAUAAACCAUUUUAUAUCUUAUAAAACUAAUAAAUAUUUAAUUCAUUCCUUUAGUAAAAGUAACUAAAUUUUGGUCAAUGUGUAUCAGUACAUCAAUUGAGAGAGAGAGACUUGCAAAGAUUUUUCUUAAAUACCAGUACUGACAGCGACAUAAGUUUAAAUUUAACUCAUAUGCUAAAAAAAUGGUUAAAUACAACUUUGUAGUAGACAAUUAUGAUUUUGUAAACUGAACAUAUCCAAUAACCAACUGUUGAAGAGUGUCGUUACUAAAUCAUUGUGUGAAAUCAUUUAUUCAUUGAAAAGUGAUGAAUGGUUUUAAGGAGAAACUCAUAUACGGGUAAUCAUACAUUUGCAAUGGCCAUACGUUUUGAUUUCCCUUAAAAUACAGAUUAUUUCGAACGAGACUUUUAAUGUACUUUCAUUAGUUUUUAUUAAUUCACAGUAUCAGUAAGUCUUAUCUUGAAGAAAUAGGGUUUUUACAAUAAUUUCUAAAAACAGGGGUCAACCGUCAGCGUUUUCUUAAUACCUUCCUGGUUUAGACACUCUUUUUACUCUCAGUAGGAUUCUAUUUACUUCUAAACAAUCACAUUGCAUCCAUUUGAUUAAGUAUCAUUUUUGUACUUGUUAAACUUAAAACAAUACGUAAAAACCACAACUGAAUUCAAACAGGAAUGUUGUUUUUUUCUGUAACUUUAUUGUAAAAAUAUGGUGGCAUAUCACACAAGGGGCAGAGAUACAUGUAUGCCACCAUAUAAAAACAUUAGUAAAAGAUUUUUUUUUUAAACCAAUGAUUUCUAUUUCUAAAAAAAGGAAGUCAGAGAUUUUAAAAUCUGCAGAUCUAGGUAAACAUUUCUUUAUAAUUUUCAAGGAGUAUGCGAUUGAAUUUCUUUUAAAAUGAAGUUAAUUUUAAUUCAGUUGCAGAGGGAUCAUGGCAACAUACUUACCGGCCCAAGUUGCCAUGAGCGGUUGUGAUUUGUGCAACACUGGUAGUAGUCUAACAAACGUCUGUGAAGUUUGCAAGAAAAGUAUGUGCAUUGACUGUUUCCAAACACACGAACAUGACCAAGCCAAGAAAAUUUACAAGAUAGAAUUUAAAGCAUCUCUGGAAACGACGACGGGAACCAUCUACAGUAUUUGUGUUACAAGGGACCAACACGUCUGGCUGUAUACCUUUGACAGGCUAAAUAAGUUGACCAUCGACGGGAAGGUUGUCAUGAGCAUUGGCAUACCUGUACAAUUUACAGAGAUGUCAAAGUACGCAAGGAGUAUUGAUGUCAUGGGCGACAAAGUACUCAUUUCAGCGACCGACAAAAUCCUUUGCGUUAACGACGGGUCGUCUUUCGAAAAGUUCUGCGAUUUUGGAUCUAAGGGAGUUCGAGUUACCGGAAUACACGUUACUGAAGACCACACUGUCUGGGUUUGCCUUCAGGGAGGUAGAUAUGUACUGGCCCUCCUGUCUACUACUGGAGUCCCUUCGAUGUAUCACUCACGAGUUGACGAAUGCGAACAAUACCCUAUACGGGUCCACCAAAUUUCAAAAGAGACUGUCUGGGUUCUGUACACCGACCAUUUUGUUCUGUAUGAACUUAAGUCAUCUAGUUUGCGUAUCAUGAAGGUGUUUAAACAAAAUGUGGAUCAUGGAAUAGACAUAGGUUCAGAUCAGUAUGGAAACUUGUUGGUUGCCUUAGAAAAUAAAUGCAAAAUGCGCGUUAUGUCACAAAAUGGAAAAAUAAUAACAAGUUUUCUAUUCCAAGGCCCCAAAAAGGUCGGCAGCGAGAUAAAAUCUAUAUACAGAGAUCACUCUAACAACAUUUGGGCUGGAUUUGAAAGCGAAAUGGGAUGCCAUACAUAUUGGCCUGGUCAACAAUGAUUCAGCGAUGAUUUCUAUUGCCACAGUGAAUACAACAUUGCAUUUGGAUUGCGUGAGACUUCUCAAUUUUAAAGAGCAAAUCGAAUACAUGUA
RNA transcript from Magallana angulata, 3473 nucleotides. RefSeq lists it as uncharacterized. NCBI's taxonomy places the organism in Eukaryota, Metazoa, Mollusca, Bivalvia, Ostreida, Ostreidae. The record is from RefSeq and is a predicted model, not a curated record. The transcript is spliced from 3 exons.